GGCCCUGAUCCCCGGUAGGCGCCAGCGGGGAAGGAUGGCGGUGGAUUGGGUGGCCUGGGCCCGGUCUGCGGCCUAGGCCGCGGGGACGCUCUGGUGGGACCUCGCCUCGUGGCGGCCCUACGGAGCGGUGAGCAGGUAGCGGGGCCCUCAGUAGGAGUAAUAUGGGAGACGCGGGCUCAUGGAGCCUCCGUAUGGGCCGCUGGAAGGGGCGGCCACAGCGGGUCCGUGGCGCUUCAGGCUUGAGGCCCAUCAUCCCGCGGCCGAGUGCGGGUGUGCGUGGUGCCUGGGUGUGAGCGCUGCGGAGAGGCUGUGCCUGGGGCCUGCGCUCGGAUUUCGUGAGGUAACAGCUCAGGGUGCCUCAUCUGCGUUGUGUUCUCACUUGGGAGCCCUUUUCCCUGGGGAAUUCACCUGGAUGAUGGCGAGAUAAUGUGUCUGCUAUAGAGAAAAAGUGCUAGGGUCCUGAACUUUAGAAUUAGAGGCCCCAUGUUAAAUAGUAUAGCUCACUUGGAUUUCCGUGUGCCUGCACGUGAUGAAAACUAUGUUGGUAGGGACAUCUGAGAGGGUGAUGAAUGCCAACAUAUCUGAGCUGGGCAUGGAAUAGUGAGUGGUGACCUAUCCGGUAGGGCUGAAACAGCAUGUAGUUUUUUCUGAGCAGCCCAAGUUAAUGGCUGUGGGACUGGCUCGGUGAUCAUACAUUGAAAUUGCAGCUGUGGAAAACGACAAAAGUUUAGUGGCUCUGUUCUGCUUAAAAAUACUGUCUGUUCAGGAUGCACCAGCUAUUUACACUGUUUUCUCUUAUGGCUUUGAAACAGAUCUGCCAUGGAAUAAAGAAACUUGAUGCUACUACAAAAGUAUUUGAGUCAUGUACUUAGAAGACUUGCAGAAGAAACAUUUGCUGGUACUGGGAAAUGAAGCUAUAAACUGCACAAGGCUGCCCUUGACAAAGGAUACCUGUGCCUCCAGUGAGAAUAUUUCACCUGUUACUAAUGCUUGUGAAGACAAGGCCUUCUAAUUGAAGGGUUUCAGAGUUUGUCAUUGCAAUGGCUGCUGUGGUGAAGCUGCAAAGUAGUGCUGUUGGUAGUCUACCAGCAAAGAUUUGAGAAUGGGAGAACUGCUGGAUGCUUUGUGACAGAUGAUUCUUUACUUGAGUGAAGCUCAUGGGGAGAUUGUGUGAGAAACAAGACUAACUCAUGUCUGAGGCAAGUGUCAAGUAGAUCAGGUUUGAUAAUUACUGUAAUACUGGUUUUCUGCUAAGUGCCUAGAUUGUGGUGCCUGAAAUUAUUUAUUACUCCUAUAAUAGAUCUGAUUUGUUUUCCUGUUUUAUUCUUACUAUCUCACUUCACUACUGUGGGAAUAAAUGUGAUGUGCUUGAAGCAAGAGUGCAUUUCUGUGUAAGUCUGAGUUGGACUUAAAAGCGAAAGGCUCUUUCUGGGCCGAUAAGACAAUUCCUGAGCAGUAAACUUUUUGUAGUUCUUACAGGAAAAGGUGUGGUGGCUUCAGUGACUAGAAACUGGGAGUUUAUUAUUGGAUGUCUGCACAUUGGAAAUAGUAAAGGAGCUGAAUCAGUGAAGACUACUUAGCCAAUGAAGUGUGAUAGUGUAGUAGAGCAGAGUGCACAGUAGCAAAAAAAUAACUCCUAACAAUUCAUAUUUAUGUGGCUGCACUCUUAAAAAAAAAAAAACCAACCCAAAAACCCAAACAUCCAACAUGUAUGCUGUGGUUUUCAGUCAGUAAUUCUUGCUGAUGUUGGCACUACACAAAUAGAAUCAGGUUCUAGGUAAUUGCUGUGCAAAUGUGCUUCCUCCAACAGACUGGUUCUGAAUUUUAAGGAUGGGUUUUCAAGGUAAUUUCUAUGAGACUUUUAUUUUAAAUAUCAAAACUCAAUGAGUAACUAUGGGGAGAGAGUAUCCCAAGCAAGUAGCUUUGUUCUUUCCUGCAGUUCUUACAAUAAUAAUUCUGUAUUUCCAGUUCAGUUAGGAUUUGUAAGCUUUGUAUAUCCUACUUGGGUGUUAUAAGUUGAAGUUCUUGUCAGUUGCCACCUGAAAUGCAGCCUCCUGAGUAAAGUUAGUUUGAGUAGAAUUUCAUAGAUAAUUAAACUUGCAUAUAGUGAAGUCUGUUAUUCUGAAACAACUUGUCUCUUUCUCAGGAAAGGACCGUGCCAUCUGCAGCCUCAUUGGGUAAGACCACACAGCAGAAGAAUUCUGUUAAAAAAAUCAUGGGGAGAUUUGUAGCCACUGAUGAAAUUUGAUUCUGCCAAAUGAAUUACUGUGAUAUCACACUUCUCCGUUCCACUUUUCUCUGAGGUUACAAAGUUGCUGUGGAGCUUUUAGACUUGUGCUACUGCAAGAUUUAAUUGUGGUUUCUCACUCUAGGUGAGGAGGCAACUUUGAAAUUACUCUAUGAAGAACUGAAGGUGGAAGAUUGCAGAAUAAUGCCUUACACUUGCAUGAACAGAACUAAAAAAGCCCAAGAGUUCUUUUACCACCCUGAUUAUGUUUCACUGAUAUGAAUUGGUACCAAUAAAAAUUCAUAAACUCUA
This is a long non-coding RNA of Melopsittacus undulatus (budgerigar), 2539 nucleotides long. RefSeq lists it as uncharacterized. The transcript is spliced from 11 exons. The record is from RefSeq and is a predicted model, not a curated record. Lineage: Eukaryota; Metazoa; Chordata; Aves; Psittaciformes; Psittaculidae.